AUUGAACGCUGGCGGCUUGCCUUACACAUGCAAGUCGAACGGCAGCAUAGGAGCUUGCUCCUGAUGGCGAGUGGCGAACGGGUGAGUAAUAUAUCGGAACGUGCCCUAGAGUGGGGGAUAACUAGUCGAAAGACUAGCUAAUACCGCAUACGAUCUACGGAUGAAAGUGGGGGAUCGCAAGACCUCAUGCUCCUGGAGCGGCCGAUAUCUGAUUAGCUAGUUGGGGGGGUAAAAGCCUACCAAGGCGACGAUCAGUAGCUGGUCUGAGAGGACGACCAGCCACACUGGGACUGAGACACGGCCCAGACUCCUACGGGAGGCAGCAGUGGGGAAUUUUGGACAAUGGGGGCAACCCUGAUCCAGCAAUGCCGCGUGAGUGAAGAAGGCCUUCGGGUUGUAAAGCUCUUUUGUCAGGGAAGAAACGGUAGUAGCUAAUAUCUAUUACUAAUGACGGUACCUGAAGAAUAAGCACCGGCUAACUACGUGCCAGCCGCCGCCGUAA
Molecule: ribosomal RNA, 502 nt
Filed under: uncultured bacterium
Lineage: Bacteria
Description: partial 16S ribosomal RNA
Rfam family: Bacterial small subunit ribosomal RNA
Source: RNAcentral